Molecule: long non-coding RNA, 2893 nt
Organism: Mytilus californianus (California mussel)
Lineage: Eukaryota; Metazoa; Mollusca; Bivalvia; Mytilida; Mytilidae
Exons: 2
Source: RefSeq, a predicted model, not a curated record
GAAUGGAAGCUAUCCAUUGAAGUUUCAAUGUUUUCUAUCCAAUUCUUGAGAUCCAGCAAAUAUGUCAGAUAUUUACAGAAUACAGAAUACAGAUUCAUAAAAGGUCAGAGAAAGCUGUUAUAUACGAUAAGGAAUAGUAAAAGAUGACCAUUAUUCCGAAAACGAACAGUUUUUAAAAAGCUGCAUAUUACAAGGAACUGACAAAAGAAAGAAAUCAGAAAAUAAUAACAAGUACUACGUUAACAAUUCGGAAACAUAUAAAACAAAAAACGUUAUUGAAUACAGUCAAACCACAGAUGCAAUUACAAAAAGGAAUCAAAGAUUGAAAAUCAAAGAAAAACGUGUGAAAGCGAGAAAUGACCAAAGGACGCAAAUGCUGAAGAAAAACUUAGAUUUGGAUGAAAACUUUAAAGAAAACGAUACUUUUCGAAACAGAAUGGAUAAGUCGCGAUCUUUGAAAAACAUUAAAGAAUGUUUGCCUGCAAGCCCUCUUAACGUGUAGCAGUUUUGAAUGCCUACAUAAAGUCUUCGCCUGUAAUGAAUUCGAUAAUAAAGAAAUUGAAAGCAAACUCCGAAUUGAAAACUGUAGGGACAGUAAUUUACAAUCUACAAACAUUUAUAAGUAAAUCAAAAUCUAAAAGAAGUGACGAUGACAGAAUGACAAUGAACAUUUUAAAAGUGUCCAUAAGUGGAGAGGAUAUAGGUGACCCUGUGUCAAACAGAAAUAUAUCCAAAACUUUGGGAUUAAAACCUAGGAGACCGUUUGGAGGACGACGAAUAGGAACUCAAAUUUUACAAAAACAGAAAAAUCUUGUUUUAAAAUAACUUUUUUAAAGAAAAACAAGAAGUGAUGCAGUUUCUGACGAUAUUAAGAAAACUGUCUUUGACUUUUGGUGUUCACCCUCUAUUUCAAGAACUUCAUCAAAUAAGAAAGAUAUUAAAAGAAUGCGAAUUUCAUCCAAAACAUACUCAUCCCAUCAGAUACAGCUUUUAGAAAAAACUCAAACGGAAAUUUUUCUAGAAAUUAAAAUAAAGUAUCCCGAAAUCAAAAUAAGUCAGCGCUUAUUUGAAAAUUAUAAACCUUUCUUUGUGUUACCAUUGCGGCCUGAAGACCGGUGUACAUAUUGCUGACGCCAGCAUGUUGAAAUGUUAUGUUUGUUUAAGCGGUGCAUGUAAUUUCUAAAAUUUACUUUAAAGAACAAAUCAAAUGAUGUCAGAAAUAAUUAUCCUAUAUUUGAGCAAAUCAGCGAUGUAGUUAGUCAGACUAUGUGUCCGAAAAAUACAAAUGACUAUUUUAAUGAAUUACAGUGUUUGAUAAGAGAGUGUGACAAGAUUGGGGUUUCCAAAAAUAAAUACUUACCUGAAGAAUUAAAUAUGUCUGAAAAAUCCGUAAAUGUAAUGUGGGAACGGUACGAAUAUCAACAUUUCUGGAAAAGGUGGAAAAAUUUGUAGAAAAUUACAAUUUCUUUCAAAGAUUUCAAAACCAGGAAUAAUGUUUCAAUGUUUUCAAAAAAUACUCACUGAGUUUCCUUCGAACCAAUAUCGAGCGAAUUGGCAGAGUACACAAUUCAUAAGUCUUCUAGAUAAUUUUAUCAUGCAAUAUGUGUCCACGACUACGCGGAAAGUUACAGAUGUUCAGACCACCGCGAAAUUCAAUCUAGUUAUUUUCAAAAAACUGAAGUAAGCAUCCAUGUGACAAUUUUAUACCGACUGCAGUACAUGGUAAAGAUGGAAUAGACAAUUCUUUUGUGAAUCCAAACAUAAUUUGUUAACAGUUUUUUAUAAUCAAUCCAGAUCUGCAACACAAUCGAAGUUUCACACAAUACUGUCAAAAACAAAUAUCUGACUACCUAAAAUCCAUUUCGGUGAGUGUAUCUUGCAUGCAUAAGUAGACCGAUGGUUGUUCAGCCCAAUACAAAAGUAGAUUUUGCAUGGGAGAUGUCAGUAACAAUACUCUUGGUUACAAAACACUUGAAUGUAAUUUUUUACGAAACUUCACACGCCAAGGGUCCACAAGACAUCGCUGGUGGGUUCUUAAAAAAACAGGCAGAUAUCGCUGUUCUUAGGCGAAAAUCUAAAAUUCAGUGUGCUAAGUACUUUGAUGACUUUUGUGAAAAUCGUCUACAAACACCGAAAUCCGGAGUAUACAAUUGACGUAUAUUUAGAUAUACAGAGAAUAUUCCGCGCGAUGAUAUUGCACAUCAAAAAACAAUUACUCAUCAAAUUAUAUCACAUAACACAUCACCAGGAGACAGGAUCACGAUUCAUCUUUUGUUAUGAAUAUGAAGACUGUGUGAAAGGAAAUAUCCAAAACUGUUUUAACUGGAGAUUUGUCAGAGAUUUUAAAUUAAUUAGCAUGAAAGAAAGAAAUUCUCAGGCUAUUGAAUCAACUGAUCACGAAGAAGACGUUGUUUAGGUAGCACACCUUAUUGAAAGUAACCCGAAAACACUUUGUUCUAGAACCUGAACGUAGUGAUGUAUUAGGUGGUACUUUUCAAACUGGUGCAUUCGUUUAUACAAAGUCAGUGUGCUACAUUUGUGUAGAACUAAAUCCAAGCAAAACUAUUGCCAUUCCUGAACAUUUACAUAUAAUAAAGAGUUUAGAAAUGUAAUUUAUUCUGACAUUGUGGGGGAGGCUAUUUUUGAUAUACUUUCAACCGUUUUAACAAAAGUAGGUAAGAGACACCGUAAAAAUGUGGAAAACGGUACCUUUUGUAGCGUUACCUUACGUUACGCAGUAACGUGCGUUCAGUCUGUGUACUUGUUUCUUGUAGGGAUUAACAUACAAAUGGAAAUUGUCAGAUAAAACAUGUAAUUGUGAUGAUUUAAAAUCUAUGAUUAUUAUUUAGUUCAGAAAUAUAUGAAGAUUCAUCUUUAUAAAACUUUUGAAGUA